RNAcentral lists this transfer RNA (83 nucleotides) under Bacteroidota bacterium. RNAcentral's name for it is "tRNA-Ser". It matches the Rfam family "tRNA". From Rfam's summary of the family: Transfer RNA (tRNA) molecules are approximately 80 nucleotides in length. Their secondary structure includes four short double-helical elements and three loops (D, anti-codon, and T loops). Further hydrogen bonds mediate the characteristic L-shaped molecular structure. tRNAs have two regions of fundamental functional importance: the anti-codon, which is responsible for specific mRNA codon recognition, and the 3' end, to which the tRNAs corresponding amino acid is attached (by aminoacyl-tRNA synthetases). tRNAs cope with the degeneracy of the genetic code in two manners: having more than one tRNA (with a specific anti-codon) for a particular amino acid; and 'wobble' base-pairing, i.e. permitting non-standard base-pairing at the 3rd anti-codon position. The record is from RNAcentral. Lineage: Bacteria; Pseudomonadati; Bacteroidota. RNAcentral also lists the same sequence under 2 other names.
GGAGAGGUGGCAGAGUGGUAAUGCAGCAGCCUGCUAAGCUGUCAACGUUUUUCGUUGCCCGGGUUCGAAUCCCGGUCUCUCCG